GGUGCUUGCAUCAUGAUUUACAUUUGAGUGAGUGGCGAACUGGUGAGUAACACGUGGGAAACCUGCCCAGAAGCGGGGGAUAACACCUGGAAACAGAUGCUAAUACCGCAUAACAACUUGGACCGCAUGGUCCGAGUUUGAAAGAUGGCUUCGGCUAUCACUUUUGGAUGGUCCCGCGGCGUAUUAGCUAGAUGGUGAGGUAACGGCUCACCAUGGCAAUGAUACGUAGCCGACCUGAGAGGGUAAUCGGCCACAUUGGGACUGAGACACGGCCCAAACUCCUACGGGAGGCAGCAGUAGGGAAUCUUCCACAAUGGACGAAAGUCUGAUGGAGCAACGCCGCGUGAGUGAAGAAGGGUUUCGGCUCGUAAAACUCUGUUGUUAAAGAAGAACAUAUCUGAGAGUAACUGUUCAGGUAUUGACGGUAUUUAACCAGAAAGCCACGGCUAACUACGUGCCAGCAGCCGCGGUAAUACGUAGGUGGCAAGCGUUGUCCGGAUUUAUUGGGCGUAAAGCGAGCGCAGGCGGUUUUUUAAGUCUGAUGUGAAAGCCUUCGGCUCAACCGAAGAAGUGCAUCGGAAACUGGGAAACUUGAGUGCAGAAGAGGACAGUGGAACUCCAUGUGUAGCGGUGAAAUGCGUAGAUAUAUGGAAGAACACCAGUGGCGAAGGCGGCUGUCUGGUCUGUAACUGACGCUGAGGCUCGAAAGUAUGGGUAGCAAACAGGAUUAGAUACCCUGGUAGUCCAUACCGUAAACGAUGAAUGCUAAGUGUUGGAGGGUUUCCGCCCUUCAGUGCUGCAGCUAACGCAUUAAGCAUUCCGCCUGGGGAGUACGGCCGCAAGGCUGAAACUCAAAGGAAUUGACGGGGGCCCGCACAAGCGGUGGAGCAUGUGGUUUAAUUCGAAGCUACGCGAAGAACCUUACCAGGUCUUGACAUACUAUGCAAAUCUAAGAGAUUAGACGUUCCCUUCGGGGACAUGGAUACAGGUGGUGCAUGGUUGUCGUCAGCUCGUGUCGUGAGAUGUUGGGUUAAGUCCCGCAACGAGCGCAACCCUUAUUAUCAGUUGCCAGCAUUAAGUUGGGCACUCUGGUGAGACUGCCGGUGACAAACCGGAGGAAGGUGGGGAUGACGUCAAAUCAUCAUGCCCCUUAUGACCUGGGCUACACACGUGCUACAAUGGAUGGUACAACGAGUUGCGAACUCGCGAGAGUAAGCUAAUCUCUUAAAGCCAUUCUCAGUUCGGAUUGUAGGCUGCAACUCGCCUACAUGAAGUCGGAAUCGCUAGUAAUCGCGGAUCAGCAUGCCGCGGUGAAUACGUUCCCGGGCCUUGUACACACCGCCCGUCACACCAUGAGAGUUUGUAACACCCAAAGUCG
Molecule: ribosomal RNA, 1378 nt
Filed under: Lactiplantibacillus plantarum
Lineage: Bacteria; Bacillati; Bacillota; Bacilli; Lactobacillales; Lactobacillaceae
Description: bacterial SSU rRNA
Rfam family: Bacterial small subunit ribosomal RNA
Source: RNAcentral